AGAGUGAACGCUGGCGGUAGGCCUAACACAUGCAAGUCGAACGGCAGCACGGUAAGAGCUUGCUCUUAUGGGUGGCGAGUGGCGGACGGGUGAGGAAUACAUCGGAAUCUACCUUUUGGUGGGGGAUAACGUAGGGAAACUUACGCUAAUACCGCAUACGCCCUUCGGGGGAAAGCCGGGGACCAGCAAUGGCCUGGCGCUGAUAGAUGAGCCGAUGUCGGAUUAGCUAGUUGGUGAGGUAAUGGCUCACCAAGGCGACGAUCCGUAGCUGGUCUGAGAGGAUGAUCAGCCACACUGGAACUGAGACACGGUCCAGACUCCUACGGGAGGCAGCAGUGGGAAUAUUGGACAAUGGGCGCAAGCCUGAUCCAGCCAUACCGCGUGGUGAAGAAGGCCUUCGGUGUAAAGUCCCUUUGUUAGGAAAGAAAAGCAAUUACGGUUAAUACCCGGGUAGUUCUAGACGGUACUCGAAAAGAAUAAGCACGGACUAACUUCGUGCCAGCAGCCGA
This 509-nucleotide ribosomal RNA is filed under the name uncultured soil bacterium. Its description in RNAcentral is "bacterial SSU rRNA". It matches the Rfam family "Bacterial small subunit ribosomal RNA", at positions 26 to 518 of the family's 1533-position model. The record is from RNAcentral.